GGCCACUUGGCGGAGUGGUUACGCAGCGGCCUGCAAAGCCGUGGACGCCAGUUCGAAUCUGGCAGUGGCCUCCA
RNAcentral lists this transfer RNA (74 nucleotides) under Hyphomicrobiales bacterium. RNAcentral's name for it is "tRNA-Cys". It matches the Rfam family "tRNA". Rfam says of the family: Transfer RNA (tRNA) molecules are approximately 80 nucleotides in length. Their secondary structure includes four short double-helical elements and three loops (D, anti-codon, and T loops). The record is from RNAcentral. RNAcentral also lists the same sequence under 7 other names. Lineage: Bacteria; Pseudomonadati; Pseudomonadota; Alphaproteobacteria; Hyphomicrobiales.